RNAcentral lists this long non-coding RNA (1542 nucleotides) under Sarcophilus harrisii (Tasmanian devil). Its description in RNAcentral is "lncRNA (ENSSHAG00000022498.1)". Lineage: Eukaryota; Metazoa; Chordata; Mammalia; Dasyuromorphia; Dasyuridae. The record is from RNAcentral.
AAUAGGCCAGUGUAAUAGUAGUAGAGAAAGCAUUGAGAGAUAUAAAGAAUAAGAAAAUAGUAAAGAUAAAGGGUUGAAGUUAUGAAGAGCUUCAAAUGCCAAAGUAGGUAAUAGAGACCUCAGAGGUAAUAGAGAGCCAUGGAAUUAUGGAGUCAGGAGGUAACAAGAUCAGGACUAUGUUUUAGGAAGACGAACUGGAAUGCUGAGUGGAGGAUGGACUUCAAUGGCCAGAGGCUUGAGGCUUUGGACCCCUACUAACUUGCUCAUUUAUUUAUAACUACACGGAGUGCCACAUUUUGGUUGCAAGGAAAGGGCAGAAGAAAAGAGAUCUUCAGCUUCACCCUACCCCUUUUCAGUUUUGCUCUUAGGCUUAUCCGUAUAGAUCAUUCUUGGCAUCAUGAAAUGGAAAAAAAAAAAAAGAGUCUUUUAAAGUACAUUUUUCCCAUAUUGCCAUUCAGACUGAGGCCACACAAUUAUCUGAGUUAUGGUCCAAAAUUGCUUUUAACUCCAAUCAUAUUCUCAUAAUGUCAGUCAUGUUUCAUACAAAUUGCCUUACAGGAAUAAAUGAAAUAGAAUGGGUGGAACUGGACACUUUGCACCCUCCCAGCAACAAAAUCUCUGUUAUCACAACAUCUCAACUUAAUCCUAAGUGAGUUUCUGUGCUUUCCCUGGGCAGAUGCCAUGAUAAAAAAGAAUGCUUUUAUCAUAAGAAUACUUUUAAAUUUUAGUUUGUAACUAUUUGAAUAGCAAUUUAAUUGUUUAAUUAGAAACAACACUAAAUAUCAGCACAAAAAAUUAAUCCUGCCUUCACAACUAUAUAUCAUAUUCCCAUAAGGUAUUGUUUCUUUUCUUUCUGGAAUACCAUACCUGUAAAUUAAACUAAUUAAUGGUGAUGCAUAAAGUACAAUUUUUUUUCCAUUUCCCCCACUAAGUUCAUAACAUUAUGUUCUAUCCAUUCAUUCAUUCUAAACUAUUUUUACCCAUACGAUUGUAGUAUGUGCAUCAUUCUGCAAAUAAUUAUGCUAUAUCAUUCUAUUAAUUACUAUUUAUUGAUUCAUUCCCCUAUUGUGACAUAUUUAAAGAACUAAUUUUUUUUGCAGUUACAUAUAAAGCUACCAUGAAAACCUUCUAAAAGACAGAUCUAUUUUUUCAUUUUUUUUUGUUAUUGAUAACACUUUCAGAGUAGUGGCUUAACAGAGAAAUUGUUGAGUCUGAAGAGGAUGCUAUUAUUCAGUCAUUUAAAAUUAUGUCUGACUUUUUGUGAUACCAUUUGGAGUUUUCUUAGCAAAAAUAAUGAAGGGGGUUGUCAUUUCCUUCUCCAGCUCAUUUACAGAUGAUGAAACUUCAGCAAACAGGGUUAAGUGAUUUGCUCAGAGUCACACUAAAAAGUAUGUAAUUAUUUUUACUACAUAUUUGCUCAACAGAAAGAGUCUACAAGUUUAUAAUUCCAACAGCAAUGAGUAAGGGUCUCUGAGUAUGUAGUUUUUUUUUUCUAAGCAUGGAUUCAUUGAGAGAGGUUCUACAGUAAGGAUCAAAAUGGCA